UACGUAGGGACCUAGCGUUGUCCGGAUUCAUUGGGCGUAAAGAGCUCGUAGGCGGCCACUCAAGUCGAAUGUGAAAUCUCGAGGCUCAACCUCGAGCCUGCAUUCGAUACUGGGCGGCUAGAGUCUGGUAGGGGGAUCUGGAAUUCCUGGUGUAGCGGUGGAAUGCGCAGAUAUCGGGAAGAACACCCGUGGCGAAGGCGGUUCUCUGGGACGGUACUGACGCUGAGACGCGAAAGCGUGGGGAGCGAACAGG
RNAcentral lists this ribosomal RNA (253 nucleotides) under uncultured bacterium. Its description in RNAcentral is "partial 16S ribosomal RNA". It matches the Rfam family "Bacterial small subunit ribosomal RNA", at positions 524 to 776 of the family's 1533-position model. The record is from RNAcentral.